GAUGAAGAACGCAGCGAAAUGCGAUACGUAAUGUGAAUUGCAGAAUUCAGUGAAUCAUCGAAUCUUUGAACGCAUAUUGCGCUCUCUGGUAUUCCGGAGAGCAUGCUUGUUUGAGUAUCAGUAAACACCUCAACUUCCAUAUCUUUUUUGAAAUGGGAGUUGGACUUGAGUGAUCCCAACGCUUUUCCUCACCGAAAAGUGGCGGGUUACUUGAAAUGCAGGUGCAGCUGGACUUUUCUCUGAGCUAUAAGCAUAUCUAUUUAGUCUGCCUAAAAAACAGAUUAUUACCUUUGCUGCAGCUAACAUAAAGGAGAUUAGUUCUUGUGCUGACUGAUGCAGGAUUCACAAAGACGGCUUCGGCCGACUUUGUAAACUCGAUCUCAAAUCAAGUAAGACUACCCGCUGAACUUAAGCAUAUCAAUAGGCGGAGGA
Molecule: unclassified non-coding RNA, 432 nt
Filed under: soil metagenome
Description: partial contains 5.8S ribosomal RNA, internal transcribed spacer 2, and large subunit ribosomal RNA
Rfam family: 5.8S ribosomal RNA (bases 1-120)
Source: RNAcentral